Molecule: ribosomal RNA, 777 nt
Filed under: Lentilactobacillus buchneri
Lineage: Bacteria; Bacillati; Bacillota; Bacilli; Lactobacillales; Lactobacillaceae
Description: bacterial SSU rRNA
Rfam family: Bacterial small subunit ribosomal RNA
Source: RNAcentral
CUAAUACAUGCAAGUCGAACGCGUCUCCGUURAUGAUUUUAGGUGCUUGCACUUGAAAGAUUUAACAUUGAGACGAGUGGCGAACUGGUGAGUAACACGUGGGUAACCUGCCCUUGAAGUAGGGGAUAACACUUGGAAACAGGUGCUAAUACCGUAUAACAACCAAAACCACCUGGUUUUGGUUUAAAAGACGGCUUCGGCUGUCACUUUAGGAUGGACCCGCGGCGUAUUAGCUUGUUGGUAAGGUAACGGCCUACCAAGGCGAUGAUACGUAGCCGACCUGAGAGGGUAAUCGGCCACAUUGGGACUGAGACACGGCCCAAACUCCUACGGGAGGCAGCAGUAGGGAAUCUUCCACAAUGGACGAAAGUCUGAUGGAGCAACGCCGCGUGAGUGAUGAAGGGUUUCGGCUCGUAAAACUCUGUUGUUGGAGAAGAACAGGUGUCAGAGUAACUGUUGACAUCUUGACGGUAUCCAACCAGAAAGCCACGGCUAACUACGUGCCAGCAGCCGCGGUAAUACGUAGGUGGCAAGCGUUGUCCGGAUUUAUUGGGCGUAAAGCGAGCGCAGGCGGUUUUUUAGGUCUGAUGUGAAAGCCUUCGGCUUAACCGGAGAAGUGCAUCGGAAACCGGGAGACUUGAGUGCAGAAGAGGACAGUGGAACUCCAUGUGUAGCGGUGAAAUGCGUAGAUAUAUGGAAGAACACCAGUGGCGAAGGCGGCUGUCUGGUCUGUAACUGACGCUGAGGCUCGAAAGCAUGGGUAGCGAACAGGAUUAG